RNAcentral lists this ribosomal RNA (227 nucleotides) under uncultured cyanobacterium. RNAcentral's name for it is "partial 16S ribosomal RNA". It matches the Rfam family "Bacterial small subunit ribosomal RNA", at positions 107 to 364 of the family's 1533-position model. The record is from RNAcentral. Lineage: Bacteria; Bacillati; Cyanobacteriota.
UGAGUAACGCGUGAGAAUUGCAACAGAUGGGGGACAACCAAAGAAACGGUAAUAAUACCGCAUGAGCCUAAAAAAAAAGAUUAAUUGUAGUAGAUGAGCUCGCGUCCGAUUAGGUAGUAGUGGAGUAACGGUUUACCAAGCCAAUGAUCAGUAGCUGGUGGAGAGGAUGACCAGUCACACUGGAAGGAGAGACGGUCCAGACUCUAAGGAGGCAGUAUGAAGAUUUU